Molecule: long non-coding RNA, 225 nt
Organism: Caretta caretta (loggerhead turtle)
Lineage: Eukaryota; Metazoa; Chordata; Testudines; Cheloniidae
Source: RefSeq, a predicted model, not a curated record
GGAACACCAAACAGAAAAGAUGUAACUGGAUCUGCUUCUGUGUACAGACUGCAGGACCUGAAUGGGAGAAAACUCACCACCCCAUUCCCACUUCUAGCAAGAUCAAAAGGGGAAGAGUGCUAUCAAAAGUGCUAUGAAUGCCUCUCAAUCUGAUGGAGAGAGCCUAUCCACUAUACUGUUUACUGACAGAGCACACACCACUGAACAGCAGCCAUAUGUGGGGAG